This 213-nucleotide ribosomal RNA is filed under the name Glossina palpalis palpalis. Its description in RNAcentral is "partial 16S ribosomal RNA". Lineage: Eukaryota; Metazoa; Arthropoda; Insecta; Diptera; Glossinidae. The record is from RNAcentral.
CGUAAGCCAGGUUGGUUUCUAUCUUUAGUAUAUGGUAAUAUUUUAGUACGAAAGGACCAAAUAUUAGAUAAAUAAUUAUUUUAUUUUGAAUAACAUUAACUAUUUUGGCAGAAAAGUGUAAUAAAUUUAGAAUUUAUGUAUGUAGUAAUUUACAAAUAGUAUUGUUUUUAUUUGAAAUUAUUUUAUUUGUUAUUAGAAGAUUAUUAUUAAUUA